Molecule: ribosomal RNA, 253 nt
Filed under: uncultured bacterium
Lineage: Bacteria
Description: partial 16S ribosomal RNA
Rfam family: Bacterial small subunit ribosomal RNA
Source: RNAcentral
UACGUAGGGUGCAAGCGUUGUCCGGAAUUAUUGGGCGUAAAGAGCUCGUAGGCGGUUUGUCGCGUCGACUGUGAAAACCCGGGGCUCAACCCCGGGCCUGCAUUCGAUACGGGCAGACUAGAGUUCGGUAGGGGAGUCUGGAAUUCCUGGUGUAGCGGUGAAAUGCGUAGAGAUCGGAAAGAACACCGACGGCGAAGGCACUCUGCUGGGCCGACACUGACACUGAGAGACGAAAGCUAGGGGAGCGAAUGGG